This 470-nucleotide ribosomal RNA is filed under the name uncultured Rhodoplanes sp. Its description in RNAcentral is "bacterial SSU rRNA". It matches the Rfam family "Bacterial small subunit ribosomal RNA", at positions 8 to 526 of the family's 1533-position model. The record is from RNAcentral. Lineage: Bacteria; Pseudomonadati; Pseudomonadota; Alphaproteobacteria; Hyphomicrobiales; Nitrobacteraceae.
AGAGUUUGAUCCUGGCUCAGAGCGAACGCUGGCGGCAGGCCUAACACAUGCAAGUCGAGCGCCCCGCAAGGGGAGCGGCAGUCGGGAGAGUAACACGUGGGAACGUACCCUUCAGUUCGGAACAACCCAGGGAAACUUGGGCUAAUACCGAAUACGUCCGUAAGGAGAAAGAUUUAUCGCUGAAGGAUCGGCCCGCGUCUGAUUAGCUUGUUGGUGAGGUAACGGCUCACCAAGGCGACGAUCAGUAGCUGGUCUGAGAGGAUGAUCAGCCUCACUGGGACUGAGACACGGCCCAGACUCCUACGGGAGGCAGCAGUGGGGAAUAUUGGACAAUGGGCGCAAGCCUGAUCCAGCCAUGCCGCGUGGGUGAUGAAGGCCCUAGGGUUGUAAAGCCCUUUCGGCGGGGAAGAUAAUGACGGUACCCGCAGAAGAAGCCCCGGCUAACUUCGUGCCAGCAGCCGCGGUAAUAC